UACGUAGGCAGCGAGCGUUGUUCGGAGUUACUGGGCGUAAAGAGUGUGUAGGCGGUGUCGUAAGUUCGGUGUGAAAUCUCCCGGCUUAACUGGGAGGGUGCGCCGGAAACUGCGAGACUUGAAUCCGGGAGAGGGAUGCGGAAUUCCAGGUGUAGCGGUGAAAUGCGUAGAUAUCUGGAGGAACACCGGUGGCGAAGGCGGCAUCCUGGACCGGCAUUGACGCUGAGGCGCGAAAGCUAGGGGAGCAAACGGG
Molecule: ribosomal RNA, 253 nt
Filed under: uncultured bacterium
Lineage: Bacteria
Description: partial 16S ribosomal RNA
Rfam family: Bacterial small subunit ribosomal RNA
Source: RNAcentral